RNAcentral lists this ribosomal RNA (309 nucleotides) under uncultured eukaryote. RNAcentral's name for it is "partial 18S ribosomal RNA". It matches the Rfam family "Eukaryotic small subunit ribosomal RNA", at positions 1470 to 1796 of the family's 1831-position model. The record is from RNAcentral.
CCCUUAGAUGUUCUGGGCGGCCCGCGCACUACAUUGGCACUGGCAACAAAAUCCUAGAUCUGAUAUUUCGGGGUAUUCUACCAACUGGUGUCGUGACUGGGAUUAACCCCUGCAAUUAUUGGUUAUGAACGAGGAAUUCCUUGUAAUCACGGUUUAUCAACCCGUGUUGAAUGCGUCCCUGCCCUUUGUACACACCGCCCGUCGCUCCUACCGAUGAAUCGUCCGGUGAAGUUCAUGGAGUCGCGGCUGCUCCAGCUGUUUUCGAAGUGAAAUGGACCUCAUGAUUUAGAGGAAGGAGAAGUCGUAACA